RNAcentral lists this ribosomal RNA (433 nucleotides) under uncultured bacterium. RNAcentral describes it as "partial 16S ribosomal RNA". It matches the Rfam family "Bacterial small subunit ribosomal RNA", at positions 29 to 507 of the family's 1533-position model. The record is from RNAcentral.
AACGAACGCUGGCGGCAUGCCUAACACAUGCAAGUCGAACGAGACCUUCGGGUCUAGUGGCGCACGGGUGCGUAACGCGUGGUAACCUGCCCUUAGGUUCGGAAUAACUCCCCGAAAGGGGUGCUAAUACCGGAUAAUGUCUUCGGACCAAAGAUUUAUCGCCUUUGGAUGGGCCCGCGUUGGAUUAGCUAGUUGGUAGGGUAAAAGCCUACCAAGGCGACGAUCCAUAGCUGGUCUGAGAGGAUGAUCAGCCACACUGGGACUGAGACACGGCCCAGACUCGUACGGGAGGCAGCAGUGGGGAAUAUUGGACAAUGGGCGAAAGCCUGAUCCAGCAAUGCCGCGUGAGUGAUGAAGGCCUUAGGGUUGUAAAGCUCUUUUACCCGGGAUGAUAAUGACAGUACCGGGAGAAUAAGCUCCGGCUAACUCCGUG